This is a long non-coding RNA of Parus major (Great Tit), 3219 nucleotides long. RefSeq lists it as uncharacterized. The record is from RefSeq and is a predicted model, not a curated record. The transcript has 3 exons. NCBI's taxonomy places the organism in Eukaryota, Metazoa, Chordata, Aves, Passeriformes, Paridae.
UGCGACAGAUCCUUUCUGGAUCACCUCUCUCCUGUAAUCCACUGGUUUAUUGCUGUAACUUACACUGUACCCUCAGACCAGCUGAAGCUCUGGCCUUAGGGCAUCCAGGACCUGCAGCUUCUAUGUACUGAAAUUUAAGGUGAUUCUGCCUUGCUGCUUUGCUCCUCCUGUCUGUAAUUCUUCAAGAAAUGGAUGCCACAGCUCUGGGAUGGCAACUUUUAAUACGCAUGGAUGUGCCCAGACAGGCUCUUCAUGGAGCCUGCUUCGUGACUGCAAUCAGAAGAUCUGUGAUGCACAUUCAGCACGCCUCAAGUUCUUCAACUGAAGUUUUAUUUUACCAUUCUAACUUGUCUUUUCAAAAACCUCUCCCCUUUUACCUCCUUUUCUGCUGCUAAUAGUGGAUGGCAGCUGUCUCGAGACCUCGGCGCUCCAUGCUUCUCUUGUCAAUGAAAGCGUUUUCCUGUUGGCAUUGACAGGCAGAAAUAUUUUCAUGCCAUCCUUAUGAAGUUUCCUCUGAUGGACUGGAUGAGUGCAACUGUUAGCUCUCUUAAGUGAUUCCACUCUUAUUUUUAAUUUGUGACUUUACAGCUCAAGAAUAUAUUUUCACAUUUAUCCCAGCUGUCUCUCUAACACAGAGAAGGGUGUGUGCAUUCAUGUGUAAGGGACCGAGCAAAGGAAUGCACUGUGUGAAGUUAUCUGCUGUUAAUAAAACCAACUUAUCAUAGCACCUUAAAUUAUUGACAAUGGUCUGUCUUGACCCAGUCAUCUUUCUUUUCUCUCCAUGAGAGAAAAGGAUAUUUAUGACAAAGGAAUACAAUGAAUUUGUUCAUACCUAUUUAUUUUUAAAAUACAUCCUUUCAUGGAGAUGCAUAUAAAUUAGAUUCCUGGUGAGGACAGCCUUCAGAAUGAAGUUUAAACUUUGAAAGUUCAGACUGAAGUACAACAUGUAUCUCUCAGGGAAAAAAUCAACUUGUUGAAAUGUUUAUAAGGUGAUCUUAAACACCAACUAGUUCUGAAAACCCAAAGAGCAUCUAGUAUGGGGGAGAAGCUUUAGGUAAUGAAGUUAAAGACCGAUUUUAAGUUUUGACUGGCUUAAAACAAAAGCAAAAAAAGGAUGGAAGAAAGGCUAUAAUUAUUGGAAGAACAUAAUGUGAUGCUUAGACAGGAUGUGAAAUUCGCUGAGGAACAUAUUGCAGCUAUAAUUAGAGAUAGUGUUUCAGUCACUUUAAAAAUGAGUCAUUAGAGAAUGCAUUAAAAAGAAAAAUUCUACAUCUGUUGGGUCUCCCAGUUGGGACAAAAACAUGAGACCUAAAAGGGAAAUGCAAAUUCUUUCUUCUAAGGAGCUCUGAGGUUAAAUUCCAGAAGUGAAGCACAAAUAAAGCUCUGAAGUUGGAAACCAACAAAAACAAGAGUAUAGAUGGCUUGUAAUACUUUCCCUACAUACUUCUAGAACAUGUACAAGAAGACUGAUACUUAUCCUGCAAGGAGUUGAAAUUGAUUGCUUAGGAGUUUUGCAGGGUAUUCCUCUCAUCUUUCAUCAUUCCAGUCGUAGGCAGGGGAAAAUAAUUCCACUGUAUGUUUUUUAAUGUACAUUAAAUAAGAACAGUUGAGUGACUUGUCCCAGUUCUUCUGUGCCCAUCUUCAAUAUGAAACAUGCUAGAUGGAGAGCAGCUUUUGCUAUUCAUUGCUCGUCUAUGAUAAACAGUUUUCAAUUAAUUUCUUUUCUAAUUGUGCUAGGACUAGAGGUGAGAAGCACAGAUGUCAAAAUCUGAUUGCAUUGGCUUUUGCAAAGAACUGAAUUUUCUGGGGGAGGAGAUGAUUGUGGGAAGGAGGUCAAUGCAUGUAUCUGGCACCACGUUGCUUUCAGGCUGCCUGCAUUAGGAAAUGUUCUACAAUAAAACAUUUGCCUAGCAAUUUUAAUUAAAUCAGCAAAUUAAAGGAAAAUGAGCUACACAGUAAAAAAGACAAUGCUACUAUUUGGUCCAACAUUUUUCUCUUUUUUUGGCCUCUAAUAUAGAUUACUCUGUGGAUAUCUUUAUUUCAGAUGAUGGUAAUCUGUUUAGAAAAGUGGUUUUCUGUGGAGUUUUGCCAUAGACUAAGCUUGGGUAGACUUGUAAUAAAAUAAGAUUAUUCAGUGUCCGUGGUCCACCUGGACUAAACAACCCCAAAACUAAACAAAUAAACAAAAAAACCCCAGGACAAACCUGGCAGAUUUGGGGUCUCUGUCAGUACACAAACAAUAUGGUUGUGAACUGAAGUGGAACUCAGGGGUGUAACAUAUUCCUGAGUCCAGUUAAGCAAAAAAAAGAAAAAAAGGUAUCCUCUGUACUUUGAAUUACUUGUGUGGCUUAUAAAACUUCUUGUUCAGUGCAAAUUGUUAAGACCAAUGAAUAGUUUUAGAACAAUUAAUUAUUUCAUCAUGCAAAAGGUAAGGUGAGAUAAAUUUGCAGCCAGUUAUUUUGGUCUUCAUCAUAAUGUCUGAAUGUGGUUAUUGCUGUAAUUAUCAGUGGAAUAAUGGUGUUCAAUUUAAGUUGCCUACAAGAGAUGAGUUCUCUUAAUUUGCAUGCUGGUUAAGCCUUAGGUCUAAGGAAGUGCACAGGAAAUGUUAUCCUAGAGAUGGUUUAAGACCAAACCACUGUAUUUGUCUGUUCACUGCCUUGUGGAUGCUGAACCUUCUCCUCUCCAGCCUUACAAAAUUCUCUUCAACAGCAUUCAAGACAAAGCAGCUUCUGGGCUUUUACAAGAAAUGAAAUCAUCUUAGAAUUAACUCAAUUCUCAUAAUAACUGCUAUAUUUUUUAUUUAGUUUUAUUAACUAGCGGUUGGAAGACAAGCUAUUGACAUCUUUCAUUAAACUCAGAGAUGUUUACUUAAUCUAUUAAUCCUGUCUCUGCUAAGCUGUCACAAAGAUGAUCUCUUGGAUAAGAACAAACUGUUCCCUGAGAAACUAAUAGAAAAGUUUUGUGCAGUUGUAUAGGUUAGCAAAAAUAAUGAGCUGUUUAUCCCUCUUGAAACGGAUAAAAUCAGGGUUUAAUUUAAAAUUAAAAUGAUUUUACCUUUACAUGUAAUCUCUAGGCAGGUCUGGUCUGUGGGUAUUUACAUCAGCCUAAGCAAGAGGUAUUGUCUAAAGCACCCAAAUAUUUUUAGCACACUUUGCUUUUCCUUGAAAAGAGGGGGGAAAUGCUCACCAGGCACAGAGGAUGCUGGAUCAGCUGUCUGCA